This is a non-coding RNA of Malus domestica (apple), 596 nucleotides long. The record is from RefSeq and is a predicted model, not a curated record. Lineage: Eukaryota; Viridiplantae; Streptophyta; Magnoliopsida; Rosales; Rosaceae.
ACCCCACCCCCAUAUUUUCAUUCUAUUUCUAUUUUCCCCUAGAACAUAUUUGUUUUCUAUCAAUUUAGUCCCUUAUUCUAUUUUAAUCCUAACCCUUGAUCUAGAAAGGCUAUUGAUCUUAAACUGCCAUGUGGCAGCUCUCAGAUCCCUCUUUCCUUUCAUCUCUGCCCGAAACUCAUCUCAGAAUCUCAGUGCUCUCUUUCUUUCGGUUUCUUCUCUCUCUUUCUCACACUCUCUAAGCUCCGAGAGCUUCUCUCUAGCUUUCACCUCACUUCCCUUACAAAUCAAACCCAAAAACCAUAUAUUUGGGAUCCUUGAGACUUAACGAACUCAACGAUACCCUUGCAUGCGCCAUCAGAGCACCGUGGGUUUUUCUGCCAUUGAAGCUGAGAGCUUCAAAACUCUAAAACUCGAACCCAGGUGAAGUUGCUAGUGGAGACUUCCUUAAUCAUUUUUCGCACAAUUCUGCUGCUUCGGAGUAUCUGUCUUAGAAACGAGGCAUAGAAUCCCGGCAUCAAGGCAUUUCCGCAGCAGCAUCUUCGAGUCCUCUCGGGGUAGGACCUACUCCUUGUUCAUUCAAUCUUAUCUUAAUUCUU